CCUCCGGUAGCUCAACUGGUAAAUAGUGUUUGGAACAUGUUCAAGUUAGACAUAGAUAGUCACCUGUGCACCCAUAUCACGCUGGUUCAAGUCCAGCUCGGAGGG
RNAcentral lists this transfer RNA (105 nucleotides) under Stereum hirsutum FP-91666 SS1. Its description in RNAcentral is "tRNA-Und (NNN) (tRNA-Und-NNN-30-1)". It matches the Rfam family "tRNA". From Rfam's summary of the family: Transfer RNA (tRNA) molecules are approximately 80 nucleotides in length. Their secondary structure includes four short double-helical elements and three loops (D, anti-codon, and T loops). Lineage: Eukaryota; Fungi; Basidiomycota; Agaricomycetes; Russulales; Stereaceae. The record is from RNAcentral.